GAACUCAACACCAUCAUUUGCACCGACCGCCUAUUUUCCCCUGCACAUCUUAGAUUUCUCCACCGGAUUGCUGCUGUUAACUGUUCCGGUGGCGGUGUCCGAUCAAAACCCUAAACCCUAAAUCAAUUUUCCCGUCGAUCUAUCUGUUGGUUAUGUUAAGGAUGUUCAAGAAUUUGUUUUCCCCAACUUCGCACGCUACCGGUGCAUCUUAGAUUACUCCACGGGAUUGCUGCUAUAUUAACUGUCCCAUUGACGACGUCCGAUGAAAACCCUAAAUCAAUUUUCCCGCCGUUCUAUCUGCUCAAGGAAAUGGGGAGUAUUACGCGAAUACCUGAGGCUAUUUGGAGUUCAAUUCGGACAGGGGUUAUCAUGUUGUUGAGGAGUUGGUUUUCAACAGCCUCGAAGCUGGUGCCACCAAGGUAUCUGUUGCUAUAGGCAUUGACACCUGCUAUAUUAAGGAUCUGGUGUCUCACGAGAUGGAUUGGUGUUGAUGGGAGAAAGAUAUGCGACAUCAAAAUACAGCCAUUCAGAUGAUAUGCAUGCUUUCCUAGCAAGCUUUGGCUUUAAUGGAGAGGGUUUGAGCUCUACUUCUGACAUUUCUUUUUGGAAAUUCAAAAACUCAUGGGAGGCCAAAUGGAUAUCGUAAGGUUUUGAAGGAUGACAAGUGUUUGUACCUUGGAAUUGAUGACUUCAGAGAAGAUGUUGGUACAACAGUCCAAAGAGGUUUUUGCGUUCUCCGAAAGUCUCUGCUAAGAAUCACCCUUGCGCAUCCCAGUGUCUCCUUCAAAACUGUUUAUAUUGAAAGUGAGGAUGACCUGCUUUUCCUUUUCCUUGUCGCUGUUGUCCACUGGGUUUGGGUAUUCAUCUGAGUUCCCUUAACAAAUUGAAUGCAAGUGUUUGUGCAUUCAAGCUUUAAGGAUAUAUCUCAGGUCCUGAUGUUUACACAAUGAAGGUCCUUGAGUAUUUCUAUUUGUUUCCAAUGGACCACUACAUAAAUUGCCCAAGAUCUUUAUAUGAUUUGACUUUGGAGCCUUCAAAGACCUCUGUGGAAUUUAAGGUUAAGACGGGAGUGGUUUGACUUAUCGGCACAAAAAAGGAAGAAAAAGGCGGUGUGUGUGGUUUUUCUCUUUAUUGAGGAUAUUGUCGUGAAUCUCUGGACUGCAAGUAAAUUCUGCCGAUAUACCUGUGAAUUGUGAUAUCAAGAAAAAGAGGUGCAGGGCACAGAGUUGCAAAGCUACACUUGAGCUUCCUUCCCAGCAGCCAAAGAAACUGAUUGGAGAGUGCACUGUCCGGAGAGAGAUUCGAUCUUCGCAGAAUAUUUUGUGGGGAAAUGCUUCUGAAAAGCGUUAUCCUGAGUCCAGAUUCCUCUUGUCAAAUUGAAAGUUCAAGUCGGUCAAUUGAUGGAUCUCUUGCUGAUUGCACAGUUGAUGUAAACUCGAAAUUCAGAAGCUCUGUGCAAUCCCUUUCAUCCAAUGCCAGAAACUAGACUGUUAAGGAGACUGCAGCAUUCUGCAAAAGCUAUCUGCUCAGAGCUUCCACAGCAGUCGUCCCAUCAGUGUGAUUAGUCUUCCACCCAAAGUUGUGUUGACGGUGUAUUCCCUGAUGAAAGGACAAGUGUGAAAAUGAAACUUGUUAACAUCUGGAAUAGCAAAUUACAAACUCAAGGGGAGUGCAGGGAGUGCACAAGUACACGCGAUGGGGAGUCAAAAGAAGCAUGCUGCAGAUGAGCGAAUUUUCCUGGAAGAACUGCCUGAGAAGAUAGGAUCGCAUACUUGGUUGGAGUCUGUAACAACAUCAACAACAACGUACCUAGUGAAAUCCCAUAAGCACUUGGAGUCUGUAUCUUAUUGAAUUAUCAGGUCCUAUCUGGACAAAUGAGGAGAACAGUCUAUCUUGAUUCCGAGCAAGAAUUGGUACAUUGAUUUUGGUAAUAGGUCAUGCCUGAAAUUGGUUACCAAUUACUACACAACUAUGCUGACCAAAUUCAAAACUGGGGUUGGAUCUGCAACGUUCAUUCACAAUCUUCAAGAUCAUUUACCAGGAACUUAAAUCUGAUUCAUAAGCAACCAACAUCUGUCACACUUCUUGCGGUUCCAUGUAUUUUGUGCGUUAAUCUCUAACUGAUGCGGAUCUGUUAGAAUUUAUUCAACAGGUUAGUCCAUUGACACUAACUUGCUCUCAUAUAUUACUCCAUUUUACUCUUAAUCUUACUCAUGGAAUCUUGCUUAAAUGUUGUGUCAUGUUCUCUGAUGGAUCAUCAAUAGAGUACCCCAAUCAAUAGUCAAUUGGAUCCUGAAUAACAAGGCUAGCAGGACUAAGUUCAUAUUUAAUUUAUGAAUUUGUAACUACCUUGAUGCUCUCUCCUCCAUUACUAAUGUCUUUGUUUUUAUUUGUGUUGGAACAAUAACUCUGAUAUGGAUAGAGUGGAACAGAUACAGUGGAAUGAGGAUCAAUAUAGCAGGCCAAUUAAUUUUGGGGGUGAAGCAUAAUUGAUGGAUUGAUUCAUCUGCAGUUAAAAUGUUGCCAUUCUAUUUAUUUUCGUAGGUGCAAUUAUGUUUGGAGAUGCAUUGUUUCUUCAGAAUGAUCUCUCAUUGUUGAGGAGUUGAAGCAGGCAGACCUCAUUGUGUUUUCAAGCGAGUGGAAAAUUGCAUUUCAGGAAAUAUCUGUGUUGGAACUGCAUUUGAUGUAACAUCAAAAUACAGUCAUUCAGAUGAUAUGCAUGCUUUCACAACAAGCUAUGGCUUUAAAGGAGAGACUCUGAGCUCUAUUUCUAACGUUUCUUUGUUGGAAAUUGUUACUAAUACUCACAGGAAGCCAAAUGGAUAUUGUAAGGUUUUGAAGGACGGCAAGUGUUUGUACCUUGGAAUUGAUCAUUUUGCUUUACAUUUAUUGUAAUGUUCUACAACAUGCUGCAGAUGGGCAAAUUCGUUUGGAAGAACUGCGUGAGAAGGUCCUAUCGGAAAGAAUGAGGACAAUAACCUAUCCUAAUUCUGAGCAAGAAUUGGUACAAUUAUUUUGAUAAUAGGUCAUUCCUGAAUUGGUUACCAAUUACUACUCAGCUAUGCUGAUCAAAUUCAAAGCUGGGGUUGGAUCUGCAACAAUCAUUCUCAAACUUCUAGAUCAUUUACCAGACUUAGCUGAUUGAUGAGAGUCAAAGGUAGAUGUUUCAUGCUGCAUAAAGAAAGUUGUCAAGCAUAUUGAUUGAAGGAAGUGAAACUCGGGCAAGCUUGCCGAUACAGAAGGAUCAUCAAUAGAGUACCCCCAUCAGUGAACUGGGUCCUGAAUAACAAGCCUUGCAAGAGUAAGUUAAUAUUUAAUUCAUGAAUUUGGAGCUACCUUGAUGCUCUCUCGCCUCCACCCACCCCGACAGAGAACAGGGAAUUAGAACCAAAAGUGAUUCUGAAGGCAACAAUGAAUCUCCAAACAUAAAGCAGGCCAACUAAUUUUGGGGGUGAGGCAUAAUUGAUGUAAUGUUUCCUGAUGCUGCUAUUGUAUUUAUUUAUUUGUGUUUGGAGAUGCAUUGUUGCCUUCAGAAUGUUCUCCCAUUGUUGAGGAGUUUAAGCAGACCUCAUUGUGUUUUGAAGUGAAUGGAAAACUGCAUUUCAGAAAAUAUUUGCAUUAGAACUGCAUUUGAUGGUAUGUUUUAAGAGUGGAAUUCCAUAUUAUUAUUGACUGUAAUAUCUUUUCAUUUGUAAGUGUGCUCAUGGGCGAUCAACUUUUGUCCUUCUUUUGCCAACUUGGGUGCUUUGCAUGAGCAAAUUUCUUACUUAGGUUCGUGCAGUAGGAGGUCCUCCGAGGCAUGGCAUGGAUUACAUCGGCAUGAAAUCAACCUAGAACGUGCAGCAAAGCGACUAAGAUCAACUGUAUCCUAGCGUUUAAAAGCUCUCGUGAGUAUACCUAAUUUGAUUCUGCUUGCGAUCAACUAGUUUUACUUUGAAGAUAUCCGGUCUGUGAUUAUCACAUUGAAGGAUAAUCUGGAUAUGGAGCUCGGUACAUCUAGUCAGAUUCAAUAAAUAAAUAUAUGUAUUAAAUGUAACACUAGCUUUUGGUGGUAGCAAGACUCUCUCUCAACACACACACAUACAUACACACGAAAAAUAGGAAAAGGGAACAGAUUGUACACUUUUCAUGUAAAGUCAUGGAAACUCAUGUAUAUAGAAUGUAAAUAAAUACUACGAUUAUGAAUUAGAUAAUUUGAUUGUAACAUCAUUCAUCAAUUUGUA
Long non-coding RNA from Solanum dulcamara, 4223 nucleotides. RefSeq lists it as uncharacterized. NCBI's taxonomy places the organism in Eukaryota, Viridiplantae, Streptophyta, Magnoliopsida, Solanales, Solanaceae. The record is from RefSeq and is a predicted model, not a curated record. The transcript has 26 exons.